GAUGAACGCUGGCGGCGUGCCUAAUACAUGCAAGUCGAGCGAACAGACGAGGAGCUUUCUCCUCUGACGUUAGCGGCGGACGGGUGAGUAACACGUGGAUAACCUACCUAUAAGACUGGGAUAACUUCGGGAAACCGGAGCUAAUACCGGAUAAUAUAUUGAACCGCAUGGUUCAAUAGUGAAAGACGGUUUUGCUGUCACUUAUAGAUGGAUCCGCGCCGCAUUAGCUAGUUGGUAAGGUAACGGCUUACCAAGGCGACGAUGCGUAGCCGACCUGAGAGGGUGAUCGGCCACACUGGAACUGAGACACGGUCCAGACUCCUACGGGAGGCAGCAGUAGGGAAUCUUCCGCAAUGGGCGAAAGCCUGACAGAGCAACGCCGCGUGAGUGAUGAAGGUCUUCGGAUCGUAAAACUCUGUUAUUAGGGAAGAACAAAUGUGUAAGUAACUAUGCACGUCUUGACGGUACCUAAUCAGAAAGCCACGGCUAACUACGUG
RNAcentral lists this ribosomal RNA (497 nucleotides) under uncultured bacterium. RNAcentral describes it as "partial 16S ribosomal RNA". It matches the Rfam family "Bacterial small subunit ribosomal RNA", at positions 28 to 507 of the family's 1533-position model. The record is from RNAcentral.